GAUGAACGCUGGCGGCGUGCUUAACACAUGCAAGUCGAACGGUGAACACGGAGCUUGCUCUGUGGGAUCAGUGGCGAACGGGUGAGUAACACGUGAGCAACCUGCCCCUGACUCUGGGAUAAGCGCUGGAAACGGCGUCUAAUACUGGAUAUGUGACGUGACCGCAUGGUCUGCGUUUGGAAAGAUUUUUCGGUUGGGGAUGGGCUCGCGGCCUAUCAGCUUGUUGGUGAGGUAAUGGCUCACCAAGGCGUCGACGGGUAGCCGGCCUGAGAGGGUGACCGGCCACACUGGGAUUGAGACACGGCCCAGACUCCUACGGGAGGCAGCAGUGGGGAAUAUUGCACAAUGGGCGAAAGCCUGAUGCAGUAACGCCGCGUGAGGGAUGACGGCCUUCGGGUUGUAAACCUUUUUUAGCAGGGAAGAAGCGAAAGUGACGGUACCUGCAGAAAAAGCGCCGGCUAACUACGUG
RNAcentral lists this ribosomal RNA (469 nucleotides) under uncultured bacterium. RNAcentral describes it as "partial 16S ribosomal RNA". It matches the Rfam family "Bacterial small subunit ribosomal RNA", at positions 28 to 507 of the family's 1533-position model. The record is from RNAcentral.